UACGUAGGGUGCGAGCGUUGUCCGGAAUUAUUGGGCGUAAAGGGCUCGUAGGCGGUUUGUCGCGUCGGGAGUGAAAACUCAGGGCUUAACCCUGAGCCUGCUUCCGAUACGGGCAGACUAGAGGUAUGCAGGGGAGAACGGAAUUCCUGGUGUAGCGGUGAAAUGCGCAGAUAUCAGGAGGAACACCGGUGGCGAAGGCGGUUCUCUGGGCAUUACCUGACGCUGAGGAGCGAAAGUGUGGGGAGCGAACAGG
RNAcentral lists this ribosomal RNA (253 nucleotides) under uncultured bacterium. RNAcentral's name for it is "partial 16S ribosomal RNA". It matches the Rfam family "Bacterial small subunit ribosomal RNA", at positions 524 to 776 of the family's 1533-position model. RNAcentral also lists the same sequence under 2 other names. The record is from RNAcentral.